This 1669-nucleotide long non-coding RNA is filed under the name Pogona vitticeps (central bearded dragon). RNAcentral describes it as "lncRNA (ENSPVIG00000021613.1)". Lineage: Eukaryota; Metazoa; Chordata; Lepidosauria; Squamata; Agamidae. The record is from RNAcentral.
AUGCAGGUGGGUCCGUUCGUGGGUGAUUUGAAAGGUGAGAAGAAGGGCAAAAGGAUGAGGGCCGAGGUUACCUGGGGAGGAGAAAUUUUAAGAAACGGGAGGAGCGUCCCCCGGCGUCAUCCUUCCUGUCUUCUUGCCCCACCCGGCCCCAUGCAGGAGGACAUGCAGGCAGAUGGAGAAGGAACCACAGGUCCCAUGGUCCUGGAGAAGGAGGAGGAGGAGGAGGCCAGACCCUGGCAGCCUCCACCGCCUCGCCCGCCGUGCCGAGAGAAGGCCUUCAUCUGGUGCUCCCGUCAGGAGAAAGAGGAAGCCCUCCGGCGACUGGCGGAGAUCCAGGCUGAGGGAGGGCGCCGGCACCAGCGGGACAAGGAGCGCCAGAGCCUACGGUUCCAGGAGAGGCUGUCGAUUGCCAAGCAUCGGAGAAUGCAGGACGAUCUUUUGGGAGGCAGCCCCUCUGAGCAAUGGCUGCUCUCUGCGGCCCGUCCAGGUCAGGACCACGCCGGACAGAAAAGGGCCGUGAAGCAUCACCUGGAGCAGGUGAAGCGAGAAAGGACCUACGUCAUGCAGUCCAAGAGAGAGAGAAACACGCUCCGGUUCAAGGAACUCUUGAGCCCGCUGGUGGCCCCCAGGGAGGAGAGUCCCCAGCCAGGAUGGCCAGCAGACCUAUGAGUCCAGAAGGCCUGCCUCUCGGACGUGCCGGAUGUUUUCUGCAGGGAGGAGGAUGCGAUGAGCAAGGACCCCCGCAACAGAGUGGAUGCCGUUCUCAUGAGAGAUGAAGCGGAUGGCGUAUUCGUCUGUGGAGGCAAUAGCAGGGCGGUCAUGCAGCCUGGGCAGACGCCAGAGGCUAAGCUGACCUCAGCUGGGGGGGCAGCCAGAGGCUCUGCGGGGUUCUCCCGUUGGCGUCCCCUAGAACUCAUCUCUAAUACAAUCCAGAAGGGCUGCCUCUCAGUCAUGCUGGAUGUUUUCUGUAGGGAGGAGGAUGCUAUGACCAGCCCUGGCGGGACCCACUGCUUCAGGUGGCAAAUGUGGAGCAGCAUGCAGAGCUUGGGCGGGGGGGGGGAAUCCCCUUUUUUGACUCCAGAAUCCUCCUACUAGCACAUCCAGUGGGGUACAGAAACCAUCAUCCCCAGAAUUCCCUACCACAACAGAUUCAUGGCUUGGGACGUAGGGGCACCUUACCCGAAAAGUAGCCAUCGCUACUGUUAAGGCUUUGGUCCCAUUCCAGAAGGGGAGAAAAUUCCACCCUCAUGCUCAGCGGGAUUUGGACCCAAAUGUCACUAGUAAAAGAUGCUUCUCUUCCACAACUUUUUUUUAAAAAAAAACUCGAGUAAAUGUGUAAGAAAUCCAUUUUCCCACUGGAGUUUCUUUUGGAAAGCUAUCGAUCCAAACCCUGCUGAGUUGGUUUGUUUUUUCCUCUCGCACAUGUAAACAACAAGACAGAAAUCACGGCAGCUACUUGGCGCUCGUAAAUGACCGGGCACGCAACCAGCACCGUGUGGUUAGCGUCAAGUUGCCGUUGUAUUUUUGUUUGUACACAGGCCUAAUUAAAAAUGAAUCAAAACAAAAGAACGCGGUUCCUGUUGAGCAUUCUGUUGAGCUGACUGGAUAGCUCAGUGGUUAAGGUCUCUGGCUGCACAGCCAGAGGUGGCGAGUUCGGUUCUCCACAGGG